RNAcentral lists this ribosomal RNA (119 nucleotides) under Pteropus alecto (black flying fox). Lineage: Eukaryota; Metazoa; Chordata; Mammalia; Chiroptera; Pteropodidae. The record is from RNAcentral.
GUCUACAGCCAUGCCACUCUGAACAAGCCUGAUCCCAUAUGAUCUCAGAAGCUACACAGGUUCGGGCCUGGUUAGUACUUGGAUGAGAGACCACCGAGGAAGACGAGGUGCUGUAGGCA